Long non-coding RNA from Pseudopipra pipra, 2158 nucleotides. RefSeq lists it as uncharacterized. The record is from RefSeq and is a predicted model, not a curated record. The transcript is spliced from 4 exons. NCBI's taxonomy places the organism in Eukaryota, Metazoa, Chordata, Aves, Passeriformes, Pipridae.
AGGGGACAGGAUCCUUCUCCAACUGACCGGCCAUUUUCCCCCCAGGCUGCCAGCACCUUAUCAGGUGGUGUUUGUCCAUCCGCCCCUCGGACAGGCCAGCACUGGAAGACCUUUUGUGCCAUCCUUGGGUGCAGGGCAUUCCCCUGCCCUAGAAGACGGGAGAGAUCCACGUGCUCCCUUUGAUCCAGGGGCCUGGCAGCUGGGCCCUCGGCAGAACGCUGACAGCCUGGUCUGGUCCCCAGGGAAGGAGAAGGGGCCUCUGGAGAAGCUGUGCCGGGUGGGCCUGCUGCUGGAGACAUCGAGGACGACGUCGAGGAUGACAAGCUCUCAGCUGACCUGGACGCCGGCGAGCUGAAGAGGAUGGACUUUGAUUCUGGCCCCUUCCUCCAAGCCGUGCUCCACACGCCGUUUGCAGAUGAGUCCACACCCAGGGGGUGCUCCCGGACACGGGCAUUGCACAGCCUGGCUGGGCACCGAAGGUUCCCCUUUGCUGAUGGGGAACCUGAGGAAUUCUUCAGCCGGCUGCCAAGCUGCUUCUUGGCAGGAGGGCGGGCGGGUGCUCUGGGCUGGCUGUGAAAUGGGAGCCCGGCUCUGCCCCCAGCCUCUGCCACUGCCCCUUUGCUGGGCGGGGCUGGGGCAGGGGCAGCCAGCCUGCCAAAAACAAACCCCCGUGGGGGGAGCAAAGGCGGGGCUGCAGAACACCAGCUGCUUUGGGCUGCAGGCCAGGAAAGGCUUGGGCUGCCUUGGCUUAGGAGCCUUUCUUUGGGCCAGUGCAGCAGGGCAGGGAGAAGGCCUGGGUUUUCCUGAGCUGGAGGAGGUGGGGUUUUCCUUUGGCCUGGAGGGCUUGGGCCUUCCUCAGAACCCUGACAGAAGGUUAACAUUUUACCUUUUUUUCUUGUUUCUGCUUUUGCUUUGUAAUCUCUGUUCAUGAAUUUGUUGUUUGUUUUCCAGGGAAGAGUUGGAGCUGGUGCCCAGUCCGGGUUGGGAAGGGCUGGGACCAUCCCUGGAGAGGAUCUGACGUCCCCUCUGAGAAGGCUGAGGACAUCCUUUGGGACACGCUCUUCUUGCGGCAGCAGAUCUUGUGAGACAGGACACCUCUGCCUGAUCUCCCGCGGAUCCGAGGGAUCUCUGGAUCUUCACGCCAGCACCAGGACUUUGCUGCAGAAGAGCACAGAUCCCCUGCCCAGUCUGGGACACAGAACCUGUGAAAGGGCAGAAAGAUUGUGGUGUGAAUGCAGCACCCUCAGAGCCCUUGGUGUGAGCCCGGAAAGGAAAAUCAAGCUGAGGGACAAGAUCAGUCUAAUUUGGGGACAUUGUUGGAGGUUGGAGUUGCAGUUCUGGAAGAAAUCCCUGAGGAAAUGGUGCCCCCGGGGAGAGGAAGAGGACGAGAGCAUGGGCAGCCUGCUUCAAACAUCCCCCCAGGAGACCUGGGAUCAGUCCCUGUGCAUCCUGUAAGAAAGAUGGACACUGGAAAUGGGAUUGUCCGCAACUGAAACUUCAGAACCCUCCGAACCCUCUCGUGGCAUCACUGAAGACGACUGAGGGGGCACCAGAGGAUUCUUCCCCAUCAGAACAUCUGGUUCCAGCCAAGCUAAGCACAAUUGUUUGUAGCUGUGGGAACUUGUUCCUCUGUGUUAAAUCCGGGAAAAUGAAACUCAAGGGACAAUUCUAGAACAAUUGUCUGGUGUGCCAGGGACUUGGGAAACUGGGCCAUUUUUAAUGCUGUGGCUUUGAAAUUGGGAAAACAGUGGUUGGCUCCCCAGUUUUUGUAUUUCCCCAAUUCCCCAAAGCCUCUGCUUGGGAGAGAUCUCUUGGCAAAAUGAAAUGCCACAAUCCAAUUGAAAAAUGGUCCAAUAUAGGUUAUUAUUGCAGAGCCUAAUUCUGGGGAAGUUUCUAGUUUUGCAUGAGAGUCUCCCAAAGCAGAAGUAAUCCAUCUGCCACCAUCACUUGGGGAUGCAGUGGUUCCAACAGGAUGGGCUGGAGAGGUGCCUCCAUGAUCCAAGAGAGCAGAACCCGUGAGAAUUCCAGAGAAACCUGGAGUGGGGUUGGUGAGGCCAAAGCAAUGUCCUUUGCAAAUAGAAAGUUGUAAGGGAUUCUCACCCUUUGUAGAACAAUUGAUGAAAUUUUGCUUGUGAAAAGAAUGUGAAUCUAAAUGGAA